This 141-nucleotide small nuclear RNA is filed under the name Pelecanus crispus (Dalmatian pelican). RNAcentral's name for it is "U4 spliceosomal RNA". It matches the Rfam family "U4 spliceosomal RNA". Rfam says of the family: U4 small nuclear RNA (U4 snRNA) is a component of the major U2-dependent spliceosome. The record is from Rfam by way of RNAcentral. Lineage: Eukaryota; Metazoa; Chordata; Aves; Pelecaniformes; Pelecanidae.
GUGUUCACGCAGCGGUAGUGUCUUCACCAGCAAGGUCAGUCCAAGGCAUGGUAUUUGCUCACUGAAAACUGUUCCCAGUAUCGUUCCCUCAUGACUAGAAAUACAGUCAGCACUGGCAAUUUUUGACCGCCUCUAAGGAGA